Molecule: long non-coding RNA, 521 nt
Organism: Xiphophorus couchianus (Monterrey platyfish)
Lineage: Eukaryota; Metazoa; Chordata; Actinopteri; Cyprinodontiformes; Poeciliidae
Exons: 3
Source: RefSeq, a predicted model, not a curated record
UGUGGAAUAAAAUAAUUAUUUACAGUGUGUUUACUUUUAUUAGAAGUUUAUUUAAUAUUAAUCUUACAAUGUUUAAUCAUUUAUUAUGUCUCACUCAGUCUUACAGAGUCAUUGUUUCUCUUUUUAGCCUUCACAGUUUGCCUCAGUGUGUCAGAAGCUUAGCAACAGGCGAUAAGUAAAUAGUUGUCAUACCUUGCGGAGGGACAAGACCAGACCGACGGCGGAGCGAUUAUUAUUAGACACAGAAUAUUCUGUCUGAAACCCAUUUUUAACUGAAAGUUGCAUUUUUCUCUGUGUGUGUAUUAAUUUGAUUAGCUCCUUGGGAAUGUUGGUGGUGACACUCUGUCUGCGGGAGAAGGACAGUAUACAGUAUAUAUAGAGAGGUGAUUCCUUUGUCUAGUUAGAUCUCUUCUGAGUUCUCCAUCUGUGCAGAUGUGAAAUAAAGCUGUGUUUUGUUCUUUCUCUUUAACAAGGUUUGGACUUUGUUAAUUUUUCUCGCUCCACAAUAUCAAACUCCCAAA